CGGAAUUAUUGGGCGUAAAGCGCACGUAGGCGGCUUGGCAAGUCGGAUGUGAAAGCCCUCGGCUCAACCAAGGAAGUGCAUCCGAAACUGCUGAGCUUGAGUACUUAAGAGGAUCGCGGAAUUCCCGGUGUAGAGGUGAAAUUCGUAGAUAUCGGGAGGAACACCAGUGGCGAAGGCGGCGAUCUGGGAAGAUACUGACGCUGAGGUGCGAAAGCCAGGGGAGCGAACGGG
Molecule: ribosomal RNA, 231 nt
Filed under: uncultured bacterium
Lineage: Bacteria
Description: partial 16S ribosomal RNA
Rfam family: Bacterial small subunit ribosomal RNA
Source: RNAcentral